CGGUGGUUAUAGCAUCAGGGAAACGCCCGGUUACAUUCCGAACCCGGAAGCUAAGCCUGAUUGCGCCGAUGGUACUGCGAGGGGGACCUCGUGGGAGAGUAGGUCGCCGCC
Molecule: ribosomal RNA, 111 nt
Filed under: Streptomyces rubradiris
Lineage: Bacteria; Bacillati; Actinomycetota; Actinomycetes; Kitasatosporales; Streptomycetaceae
Source: RNAcentral